AGUUCGGUAUGAAACAAGAUUGAACGCUGGCAGGAUGCUUGCGUGAUCGGAGCAGCGGCACGGACUUCGGUCUGGUGGCGAGUGGCGAACGGGUGAGUAAUGUAUCGGAACGUGCCCUGGUAGCGGGGAUAACUGCACCCGUGUAAUACCGCAUACGCCCUUCAAGGAAAGCGAGGCCUUCGGGCUCGCACUGUCAAACAGCCGACUAUCGGAUUGCUUGGAUUGGUGGGGUAACGCAGCUCUGAAGGCGACGAUCCGUAGCUGGUUUGAGAGGACGACAACCACACUGGGACUGAGACACGGCCCAGACUCCUGGGAGGCAACAGUGGGUGAUUUUAAUGGGGAAACCCUGAUCAGCCAUCCCGCGUGUGCGAUGAGGCCUUCAGGUUGUAAGCACUUUUGGCAGAAAGAAACGGCACGGGAUAAUACGUACGUAAUAAUGCAGAAUAAGCACCGGCUAACUACGUGCCAGCAGCCGCUUGCGGAAGUAAUACGUAGGUUGCAACAUUAAUCGGAAUUACUGGGCGUAAAGCGUGCGCAGGCGGUUCCGGGAAAAGAAAGAUGUUAAAUCCGGAAAACUAUGCUGAGACUGCAUUUUUAACUACCGAGCUAGGGAGUGUGUCAGAGGGAGGUGGAAUUCCGCGUGUAGCAGUGAAAUGCGUAGAUAUGCGGAGGAACACCGAUGGCGAAGGCAACCUCCUGGGAUAACACUGACGCUCAUGCACGAAAAAGCGUGGGGAGCAAACAGGAUUAGAUACCCUGGUAGUCCACGCCCUAAACGAUGUCAACUAGCUGUUGGGGCCUUCGGGCCUUGGUAGCGCAGCUAACGCGUGAAGUUGACCGCCUGGGAGCUACGGUCGCAAAGAUUAAAACUCAAAGGAAUUGACGGGGACCCGCACAAGCGGUGGAUGAUGUGGAUUAAUUCGAUGCAACGCGAAAAACCUUACCUACCCCUUGACAUGUCUGGAAUCCCGAAGAGAUUUGGGAGUGCUCGCAAGAGAACCGGAACACAGGUGCUGCAUGGCUGUCGUCAGCUCGUGUCGUGAGAUGUCGGGUUAAGUCCCGCAACGAGCGCAACCCUUGUCAUUAGUUGCUACGAGGCGCUCUAAUGAGACUGCCGGUGACAAACCGGAGGAAGGUGGGGAUGACGUCAAGUCCUCAUGGCCCUUAUGGGUAGGGCUUCACACGUCAUACAAUGGUCGGGACAGAGGGUCGCCAACCCGCGAGAAGGAGCCAAUCCCAGAAACCCGAUCGUAGUCCGGAUCGCAGUCUGCAACUCGACUGCGUGAAGUCAGAUCGCUGGUGUCGCGGAUCAGCAUGUCGCGGUGAAUACGUUCCCGGGUCUUGUACACCGCCCGUCACACCAUGGGAGUGGGUUUUACCAGAAGUAGUUAGCCUAACCGUAAGGAGGGCGAUUACCACGGUAGGAUUCAUGACUGGGGUGAAGUCGUAACAAAGGAGUAA
This 1464-nucleotide ribosomal RNA is filed under the name uncultured Bordetella sp. Its description in RNAcentral is "partial 16S-23S ribosomal RNA intergenic spacer". It matches the Rfam family "Bacterial small subunit ribosomal RNA". Lineage: Bacteria; Pseudomonadati; Pseudomonadota; Betaproteobacteria; Burkholderiales; Alcaligenaceae. The record is from RNAcentral.